GACGAACGCUGGCGGCAUGCCUAAUACAUGCAAGUCGAGCGAACAGAUGAAGUGCUUGCACUUCUGACGUUAGCGGCGAACGGGUGAGUAACACGUAAGGAAUCUACCUAUAAGCGGGGGAUAACAUUCGGAAACGGGUGCUAAUACCGCAUAAUAUCUUCUUCCGCAUGGAAGAAGAUUGAAAGACGGCUCUGCUGUCACUUAUAGAUGACCUUGCGGUACAUUAGUUAGUUGGUGGGGUAACGGCCUACCAAGACGAUGAUGCAUAGCCGACCUGGGAGGGUGAUCGGCCACAUUGGGACUGAGACACGGCCCAAACUCCUACGGGAGGCAGCAGUAGGGAAUCUUCCGCAAUGGGCGAAAGCCUGACGGAGCAAUGCCGCGUGAGUGAAGAAGGCCUUCGGGUCGUAAAACUCUGUUAUAAGAGAAGAACAAAUUGUAGAGUAACUGCUACAGUCUUGACGGUAUCUUAUCAGAAAGCCACGGCUAACUACGUGCCAGCCGCCGCGGUAA
This 513-nucleotide ribosomal RNA is filed under the name uncultured bacterium. RNAcentral's name for it is "partial 16S ribosomal RNA". It matches the Rfam family "Bacterial small subunit ribosomal RNA", at positions 28 to 523 of the family's 1533-position model. The record is from RNAcentral.